UGAAGGGAGUUUCAAUAUCUCUUUCCGGCCACGCCAGGAUUAUCCGAUUCCCUGGAAAGUCUCCGUCAGCUUCAACGUAUCUCAGAAGGAUCGAGUCAUACUCGCUCUGUUCAAAAGAUACUUGGGCUGCGGCACUCUUCGUGGCAGGCCGGAUGGCGUUUGGUAUUACGAGGUAACCAACCUUAACGCUGUCGUCGAGAACGUAAUACCUUUCUUUGAAAGGUUUCCGUUUCUGUCGGCCAAGAAGAAGAGAGACUUUGCCAAGUUCAAGCAGAUCGUAGCCCUGAUGAAAAAGGGUGCGCAUCUGACAAAGAAUGGUAUCCGGCAAAUACUCGAGAUUCGCGAAGACAUGAACGAUGGCGGCAAGCGCCGUCACGCUCACGUUGAUAUCCUCGCUUCAUUGGAUUGAAUCCUCAGAGACUACACGCCAAGCGUCACCACAAGGGUGACGAUGAUAUAGUCCGAUCUUCAUCGCGAGAUGAAGGAUCGGCGGAAGUAAUUCCGACGAUCGCGAAUGAAUCAAACGAUUCAAUCGUUAACACAAAUGAACGGUCCUAAGGUUGAUUGAAUGCAGCCUUAGAGAAACUUGGCUAUAUGCUGGAAAGUCUGAGUAUCCCACAUUACUCGCCUCGAGAAAGGCAGUGAAAAUAUGUUGGGUGCAGAUAAUCAGCAGGAAAGGCUAAGAACAGUCGGAUGGAUCGUAGGCUUUGUUGAUGGAGAAGGUUGCUUCUCGGUAACCAUUCAGAAAGCAACAACGGCUACGGGCUGGCAAGUCUUCCCUGAGUUCGUCGUAACUCAGGGAGAAAAAAGCUUGCAAGCAUUACAUGAUCUCAAGGAGUUCUUUGAAUGUGGAAAGGUCUUCGUUAAUCGCCGCCACGACAAUCACAAGGAGCAUCUUUAUCGCUUCUGUGUGAGAUCGAUUGCGGAUUUGAGAGACAAGAUCAUUCCUUUCUUUCGAGAAAAUCAGCUCAGAACAGCUAAGCGGGAGGACUUUGAAAAGUUCGCCUGCGUGCUGGGGUUGAUCGGAGAAAGAAAACAUCUGAACUCUGAAGGCAUCAUGGAGAUUGCGAAGAUCGCGCAAACGAUGAAUCGCAAGAAACCAUCCAGAUUCUUAGAAUCCUCAGAGACUACACGCCAGGCAUCUUCCAAGCGGAGAUGAAGAUAUAGUCCGUGCUGCAUGGCGACAUGCAGAGGUUGGCAGAAAUGACCAGCCCGUCAACGCAAGUUGACGUAACAAUGUCAGAGCGAAAUUCCUUGUCGGGUAAGUUCCGACCUGCACGAAUGGCGUAACGAUCUGGGAGCUGUCUUAACGAGAGACACAGCGAACUUGUAGUACCGGUGAAGAUGCCGGUUUCCCGCAUCUAGACGGAAAGACCCCGUGCACCUUUACUACAACUUGAUAGUGGGUUCGGGCAAACGAUGCGCAGCAUAGAUGGGAGGCUUUGAACCGAGGCUUUUGGGUUUCGGGGAGCCACAGGUGAGAUACCAUCCUUCGUUUGUCUGGACUCUAACCUCGAGCCGUAAUCCGGUUCAGGGACACUAUCAGGCGGGUAGUUUGACUGGGGCGGUCGCCUCCCAAAUUGUAACGGAGGCGCUCGAAGGUUGGCUCAGGCUGUUUGGAAAUCAGCCGUAGAGUGUAAACGCAUAAGCCAGCUUGACUGUGAGACAAACAAGUCGAACAGGUACGAAAGUAGGAGUUAGUGAUCCGGCGGUUCUGUAUGGAAGGGCCGUCGCUCAACGGAUAAAAGGUACGCCGGGGAUAACAGGCUGAUCCUGCCCAAGAGUUCACAUCGACGGCAGGGUUUGGCACCUCGAUGUCGGCUCAUCGCAUCCUGGGGCUGAAGAAGGUCCCAAGGGUCCGGCUGUUCGCCGGUUAAAGCGGUACGUGAGCUGGGUUUAGAACGUCGCGAGACAGUUCGGUCCCUAUCUGGUGUGGGCGCAGCAGGAUUGAGGGAAUCUGUCCUUAGUACGAGAGGACCGGGAUGGAUCCACCUCUAGUGUACGAGUUAUGGCGCCAGCCGUAACGCUCGGUAGCUAAGUGGAGCAUGGAUAAACGCUGAAUGCAUCUAAGCGUGAAGCCAGACCCGAGAUUAAUCCUGCCCGUGAGACUCGUGGUAGACCACCACGUUGAUAGGCUGGAAAUGUAAGUGCAGUAAUGUGCUCAGUUGACCAGUACUAAUCAGUCCCUAGGCUUGACC
Molecule: ribosomal RNA, 2198 nt
Filed under: groundwater metagenome
Description: bacterial LSU rRNA
Rfam family: Bacterial large subunit ribosomal RNA (bases 934-2198)
Source: RNAcentral